GAAUGCUGACAUAAGUAACGAUAAAGCGGGUGAAAAGCCCGCUCGCCGGAAGACCAAGGGUUCCUGUCCAACGUUAAUCGGGGCAGGGUGAGUCGACCCCUAAGGCGAGGCCGAAAGGCGUAGUCGAUGGGAAACGGGUUAAUAUUCCCGUACUUGGUGUUACUGCGAAGGGGGGACGGAGAAGGCUAUGUUGGCCGGGCGACGGUUGUCCCGGUUUAAGCGUGUAGGUGUGUGUUCCAGGUAAAUCCGGUUCACUUUAACACUGAGGCGUGACGACGAGGCACUACGGUGCUGAAGCAACAAAUGCCCUGCUUCCAGGAAAAGCCUCUAAGCAUCAGGUAACAUCAAAUCGUACCCCAAACCGACACAGGUGGUCAGGUAGAGAAUACCAAGGCGCUUGAGAGAACUCGGGUGAAGGAACUAGGCAAAAUGGUGCCGUAACUUCGGGAGAAGGCACGCUGACACGUAGGUGAAGUGAUUUACUCAUGGAGCUGAAGUCAGUCGAAGAUACCAGCUGGCUGCAACUGUUUAUUAAAAACACAGCACUGUGCAAACACGAAAGUGGACGUAUACGGUGUGACGCCUGCCCGGUGCCGGAAGGUUAAUUGAUGGGGUCAGCGCAAGCGAAGCUCCUGAUCGAAGCCCCGGUAAACGGCGGCCGUAACUAUAACGGUCCUAAGGUAGCGAAAUUCCUUGUCGGGUAAGUUCCGACCUGCACGAAUGGCGUAAUGAUGGCCAGGCUGUCUCCACCCGAGACUCAGUGAAAUUGAACUCGCUGUGAAGAUGCAGUGUACCCGCGGCAAGACGGAAAGACCCCGUGAACCUUUACUAUAGCUUGACACUGAACAUUGAGCCUUGAUGUGUAGGAUAGGUGGGAGGCUUUGAAGUGUGGACGCCAGUCUGCAUGGAGCCGACCUUGAAAUACCACCCUUUAAUGUUUGAUGUUCUAACGUGGACCCGUUACCCGGGUUGCGGACAGUGUCUGGUGGGUAGUUUGACUGGGGCGGUCUCCUCCUAAAGAGUAACGGAGGAGCACGAAGGUUGGCUAAUCCUGGUCGGACAUCAGGAGGUUAGUGCAAUGGCAUAAGCCAGCUUGACUGCGAGCGUGACGGCGCGAGCAGGUGCGAAAGCAGGUCAUAGUGAUCCGGUGGUUCUGAAUGGAAGGGCCAUCGCUCAACGGAUAAAAGGUACUCCGGGGAUAACAGGCUGAUACCGCCCAAGAGUUCAUAUCGACGGCGGUGUUUGGCACCUCGAUGUCGGCUCAUCACAUCCUGGGGCUGAAGUAGGUCCCAAGGGUAUGGCUGUUCGCCAUUUAAAGUGGUACGCGAGCUGGGUUUAGAACGUCGUGAGACAGUUCGGUCCCUAUCUGCCGUGGGCGCUGGAGAACUGAGGGGGGCUGCUCCUAGUACGAGAGGACCGGAGUGGACGCAUCACUGGUGUUCGGGUUGUCAUGCCAAUGGCACUGCCCGGUAGCUAAAUGCGGAAGAGAUAAGUGCUGAAAGCAUCUAAGCACGAAACUUGCCCCGAGAUGAGUUCUCCCUGAGACUUAGAGUCUCCUGAAGGAACGUUGAAGACGACGACGUUGAUAGGCCGGGUGUGUAAG
Molecule: ribosomal RNA, 1603 nt
Filed under: Salmonella enterica subsp. enterica serovar Enteritidis
Lineage: Bacteria; Pseudomonadati; Pseudomonadota; Gammaproteobacteria; Enterobacterales; Enterobacteriaceae
Description: partial 23S ribosomal RNA
Rfam family: Bacterial large subunit ribosomal RNA
Source: RNAcentral